AUUGAACGCUGGCGGAAUGCUUUACACAUGCAAGUCGAACGGCAGCACGGAGAGCUUGCUCUCUGGUGGCGAGUGGCGAACGGGUGAGUAAUAUAUCGGAACGUGUCCAAUAAUGGGGGAUAACGAGUCGAAAGAUUCGCUAAUACCGCAUACGCCCUACGGGGGAAAGCAGGGGAUCGUAAGACCUUGCGUUAAUGGAGCGGCCGAUAUCUGAUUAGCUUGUUGGUGAGGUAAAGGCUCACCAAGGCGACGAUCAGUAGCUGGUUUGAGAGAACGACCAGCCACACUGGAACUGAGACACGGUCCAGACUCCUACGGGAGGCAGCAGUGGGGAAUUUUGGACAAUGGGGGCAACCCUGAUCCAGCCAUUCCGCGUGAGUGAAGAAGGCCUUCGGGUUGUAAAGCUCUUUCGCGAGGGAAGAAAACUUAUGAUCGAAUAAAUCAUGAGGUUGACGGUACCUUGAUAAGAAGCACCGGCUAACUACGUGCCAGCAGCCGCGGUAAUACGUAGGGUGCGAGCGUUAAUCGGAAUUACUGGGCGUAAAGCGUGCGCAGGCGGUUUUGUAAGUCGGAUGUGAAAUCCCCGGGCUCAACCUGGGAACUGCGUUCGAAACUGCAAGGCUAGAGUGUGUCAGAGGGGGGUAGAAUUCCACGUGUAGCAGUGAAAUGCGUAGAGAUGUGGAGGAAUACCAAUGGCGAAGGCAGCCCC
Molecule: ribosomal RNA, 709 nt
Filed under: Pseudomonadota bacterium
Lineage: Bacteria; Pseudomonadati; Pseudomonadota
Description: bacterial SSU rRNA
Rfam family: Bacterial small subunit ribosomal RNA
Source: RNAcentral